This 315-nucleotide non-coding RNA is filed under the name Vibrio gazogenes DSM 21264 = NBRC 103151. The record is from RNAcentral. Lineage: Bacteria; Pseudomonadati; Pseudomonadota; Gammaproteobacteria; Vibrionales; Vibrionaceae.
AAGUUGGCACAAGGACAUCGAAAGGAAUUGAUUCGUUGACAGGAUGGUCACGAACAGGGAUGACGAUGGACACACCCGGGAAGGGUUAUUACAUCAGGAUGAUGUCAGGAAACUUUUCAGGGAUGGAAGUGCUAACAGGACGGUUAGCAGACGAGGACGUCAAGGACACCGCUAGGAAGGCGAUGGAAGGAUCGGCUGAAGGAUUCAGCAGACUGAUCAAGGAUUAGAUGCAGGACGCACUUAUUCGUAGCAGGAUGGCUGCAAGCAAAGAAUAGAACCCCGGUGGGCAUUGCUCCCGGGGUUUUCCUUAUUUGU